This 1466-nucleotide ribosomal RNA is filed under the name Synechococcus sp. AG-670-B23. RNAcentral describes it as "bacterial SSU rRNA". It matches the Rfam family "Bacterial small subunit ribosomal RNA". Lineage: Bacteria; Bacillati; Cyanobacteriota; Cyanophyceae; Synechococcales; Synechococcaceae. The record is from RNAcentral.
AGAGUUUGAUCCUGGCUCAGGAUGAACGCUGGCGGCGUGCUUAACACAUGCAAGUCGAACGAACCUUCGGGUUAGUGGCGGACGGGUGAGUAACGCGUGAGAAUCUGCCCUCAGGAGGGGGACAACAGUUGGAAACGACUGCUAAUACCCCAUAUGCCGCGAGGUGAAAUGAAUUUCGCCUGAGGAUGAGCUCGCGUCUGAUUAGCUAGUUGGUGUAGGUAAUGGCUCACCAAGGCAUCGAUCAGUAGCUGGUCUGAGAGGAUGAUCAGCCACACUGGGACUGAGACACGGCCCAGACUCCUACGGGAGGCAGCAGUGGGGAAUUUUCCGCAAUGGGCGAAAGCCUGACGGAGCAACGCCGCGUGAGGGAUGAAGGCCUCUGGGCUGUAAACCUCUUUUAUCAAGGAAGAAGAUCUGACGGUACUUGAUGAAUAAGCCACGGCUAAUUCCGUGCCAGCAGCCGCGGUAAUACGGGAGUGGCAAGCGUUAUCCGGAAUUAUUGGGCGUAAAGCGUCCGCAGGCGGCCCUUCAAGUCUGCUGUUAAAAAGUGGAGCUUAACUCCAUCAUGGCAGUGGAAACUGUUGGGCUUGAGUGUGGUAGGGGCAGAGGGAAUUCCCGGUGUAGCGGUGAAAUGCGUAGAUAUCGGGAAGAACACCAGUGGCGAAGGCGCUCUGCUGGGCCAUCACUGACGCUCAUGGACGAAAGCCAGGGGAGCGAAAGGGAUUAGAUACCCCUGUAGUCCUGGCCGUAAACGAUGAACACUAGGUGUCGGGGGAAUCGACCCCCUCGGUGUCGUAGCCAACGCGUUAAGUGUUCCGCCUGGGGAGUACGCACGCAAGUGUGAAACUCAAAGGAAUUGACGGGGGCCCGCACAAGCGGUGGAGUAUGUGGUUUAAUUCGAUGCAACGCGAAGAACCUUACCAGGGUUUGACAUCCUGCGAAUCUCUUGGAAACGAGAGAGUGCCUUCGGGAACGCAGUGACAGGUGGUGCAUGGCUGUCGUCAGCUCGUGUCGUGAGAUGUUGGGUUAAGUCCCGCAACGAGCGCAACCCACGUCUUUAGUUGCCAGCAUUUAGUUGGGCACUCUAGAGAGACCGCCGGUGAUAAACCGGAGGAAGGUGUGGAUGACGUCAAGUCAUCAUGCCCCUUACAUCCUGGGCUACACACGUACUACAAUGCUACGGACAAAGGGCAGCAAGUUCGCGAGGACAAGCAAAUCCCAUAAACCGUGGCUCAGUUCAGAUCGUAGGCUGCAACUCGCCUACGUGAAGGAGGAAUCGCUAGUAAUCGCAGGUCAGCAUACUGCGGUGAAUACGUUCCCGGGCCUUGUACACACCGCCCGUCACACCAUGGAAGUUGGCCACGCCCGAAGCCGUUACUCCAACCCUUGUGGAGGAGGACGUCGAAGGUGGGGCUGAUGACUGGGGUGAAGUCGUAACAAGGUAUCCGUACCGGAAGGUGCGGAUG